UAUCUCUGUAGAGUCUGCAUAUCAAUAAGCGGAGGAAAAGAAACUAACUAGGAUUCCCCUAGUAACGGCGAGUGAAGCGGGAAGAGCUCAAAUUGAAAUCUUAAAGGGUUUCCCUUUACGAAUUGUAGUUUAAAGAAGUGUUUUCUGUUGGAGUUUCGGUAAAAGUUCUUUGGAAUAGGACAUCAUAGAGGGUGAGAAUCCCGUAUUUGACCGUUACUUUCCAGCUGUGUGAUACACUUUCAAAGAGUCGGAUUGUUUGGGAAUGCAGUCCAAGAUGGGUGGUAAAUUUCAUCUAAAGCUAAAUAUUGGCGAGAGACCGAUAGCGAACAAGUACCGUGAGGGAAAGAUGAAAAGAACUUUGAAAAGAGAGUUAAACAGUACGUGAAAUUGUCAAAAGGGAAGCGCUUGACACCAGUGUUGUUUAGUUGAAAACCAAUUCAAUAGUUUUUGAUUCUAAGUAGUAUUGACUUCAUCAGCUUGCUGCUUUCUUCUCAGAAAUUAUUGAAUGCACUUUUCAGUUAACAAGUCAACAUCAAUUUCUUUUGUUGUAAAAGGGUAAGAGGAAGGUGGCUUGCGCUUCGGCUCAAGUGUUUAUAGCCUUUUAUCUCUGCAAUCGGAGAGAUUGAGGUCUGCAGCGUAGAUCCUUCGGGGUUAGAUACAUUGGUGCUAAGCCAUAGCCUUGUAUAGACAACUUGUUGACUAUGCUCAGUCAUGUAGCUUACUCGCUGAUGCUAUUUUACCUACGCUUAGGAUGUUGACUGAUAUGUAGUCGUA
RNAcentral lists this ribosomal RNA (774 nucleotides) under uncultured Neocallimastigales. RNAcentral describes it as "partial large subunit ribosomal RNA". It matches the Rfam family "Eukaryotic large subunit ribosomal RNA", at positions 24 to 644 of the family's 3401-position model. The record is from RNAcentral. Lineage: Eukaryota; Fungi; Neocallimastigomycota; Neocallimastigomycetes; Neocallimastigales.